Long non-coding RNA from Chrysolophus pictus (golden pheasant), 1605 nucleotides. The record is from Ensembl. Lineage: Eukaryota; Metazoa; Chordata; Aves; Galliformes; Phasianidae.
AUGGGUGAAAAAUGGGAUGAAAAAUGGGAGGAGAAUGGGGCAGUGUGGGAACAUAAAGGGUCAACUAUGGGUCAAGAAUGGGAGAUGGGUGAAAAAUGGGAUGAGAAUGGGUCAGAAAUGGGAGGAGAAUGGGGCAGAAAUGGGAACGUAACGGGUCAGCUAUGGAAGAUGGGUGAAGAAUGGGAUGAGAAUGGGAUGAAAAUGGGAGGGACGGAUCCUUCCUGCCGCUUUUUGGGGUCGGGGUCGGUGAUGGCUCCUUCCUGCUGCGUUUUAGGGUCAGGGAUGGAGAUGGGGACGGAUCCUUCCUGCUGUGUUUUGGGGUCGGCGAUGGCUCCUUCCUGCUGCGUUUUGGGGUCAGGGAUGGAGAUGGGGACGGAUCCUUCCUGCCGCUUUUUGGGGUCGGGGUCGGUGAUGGCUCCUUCCUGCUGCGUUUUAGGGUCAGGGAUGGAGAUGGGGACGGAUCCUUCCUGCUGUGUUUUGGGGUCGGCGAUGGCUCCUUCCUGCUGCGUUUUGGGGUCAGGGAUGGAGAUGGGGACGGAUCCUUCCUGCCGCUUUUUGGGGUCGGGGUCGGUGAUGGCUCCUUCCUGCUGCGUUUUAGGGUCAGGGAUGGAGAUGGGGACGGAUCCUUCCUGCUGUGUUUUGGGGUCGGCGAUGGCUCCUUCCUGCUGCGUUUUGGGGUCAGGGAUGGAGAUGGGGACGGAUCCUUCCUGCCGCUUUUUGGGGUCGGGGUCGGUGAUGGCUCCUUCCUGCUGCGUUUUAGGGUCAGGGAUGGAGAUGGGGACGGAUCCUUCCUGCUGUGUUUUGGGGUCGGCGAUGGCUCCUUCCUGCUGCGUUUUGGGGUCAGGGAUGGAGAUGGGGACGGAUCCUUCCUGCCGCUUUUUGGGGUCGGGGUCGGUGAUGGCUCCUUCCUGCUGCGUUUUAGGGUCAGGGAUGGAGAUGGGGACGGAUCCUUCCUGCUGUGUUUUGGGGUCGGCGAUGGCUCCUUCCUGCUGCGUUUUGGGGUCAGGGAUGGAGAUGGGGACGGAUCCUUCCUGCCGCUUUUUGGGGUCGGGGUCGGUGAUGGCUCCUUCCUGCUGCGUUUUAGGGUCAGGGAUGGAGAUGGGGACGGAUCCUUCCUGCUGUGUUUUGGGGUCGGCGAUGGCUCCUUCCUGCUGCGUUUUGGGGUCAGGGAUGGAGAUGGGGACGGAUCCUUCCUGCCGCUUUUUGGGGUCGGGGUCGGUGAUGGCUCCUUCCUGCUGCGUUUUAGGGUCAGGGAUGGAGAUGGGGACGGAUCCUUCCUGCUGUGUUUUGGGGUCGGCGAUGGCUCCUUCCUGCUGCGUUUUGGGGUCAGGGAUGGAGAUGGGGACGGAUCCUUCCUGCCGCUUUUUGGGGUCGGGGUCGGUGAUGGCUCCUUCCUGCUGCGUUUUAGGGUCAGGGAUGGAGAUGGGGACGGAUCCUUCCUGCUGUGUUUUGGGGUCGGCGAUGGCUCCUUCCUGCUGCGUUUUGGGGUCAGGGAUGGAGAUGGGGACGGAUCCUUCCUGCUGCUUUUUGGGGUCGGGGUCGGACGAGGUUUCCGGCUCUGGAAGCGCCGCAGCCGCUCGAAAAAGGCCCAGAAGUCGCGGAUGA